Pongo abelii (Sumatran orangutan) is the source of this 286-nucleotide unclassified non-coding RNA. It matches the Rfam family "Metazoan signal recognition particle RNA". Rfam says of the family: The signal recognition particle (SRP) is a universally conserved ribonucleoprotein. Lineage: Eukaryota; Metazoa; Chordata; Mammalia; Primates; Hominidae. The record is from Ensembl.
CCUGGGUGACCUUCGUCUCAAAAAAAAAGAAAAGAAUAUAGGCCUGUGGAAGGAUUGCUUGAGCCCAGGAGUUCCGUAGUGUGUCAUACCAAUAGGGUAUCUGCACUAAUUUGGCAUCAAUAUGGUGACCUCCUGGGAGCAGGGGACCACCAGGUUGCCUAAGGAGUGAUGAACAAGCCCAGGUCAGAAACAGAGCGGGUCAAAACUACUGUGCUGAUCAGUAGUGAGCUCACAACUGUGAACAGCCACUGCCCUCCAGCCUGGGCAGCAUAACAAGAGUGUAUCU